RNAcentral lists this long non-coding RNA (340 nucleotides) under Helianthus annuus (common sunflower). RNAcentral's name for it is "hypothetical non coding rna". The record is from RNAcentral. Lineage: Eukaryota; Viridiplantae; Streptophyta; Magnoliopsida; Asterales; Asteraceae.
UCUAUGUACGGAGCGUUUCGGUUUUGAACCAUAACAACACACCUUAUGUGUUCCUGAAUGGAAGCGAGUAACAUAAGAGAAAGUUUGGAUUAUUAUUUUUCUAGAAUUGGGUUUUUGGAGAUAUUUUUAUCACAAGUCAAUAAUUGUGAAAGUUUGGUCUAGUAAAGAUGUUUUGGACACAAUAUUCACUUGAGUGUUAAGCAAUGAUGAUGGGUAAGUUAAGGACCCGAUAUCACCCCACACAUUUACUAUCAAUCCGCCCCUGAGUACGAACGAAAUAUGAGUGUACACUUCCAUAUGUUAAUAUCUUAUUGUACCCUAUCAAAUAAGUUAGUCAAUA